UAAGGAAUAUUGGACAAUGGGCGCAAGCCUGAUCCAGCCAUGCCGCGUGCAGGAUUAAGGCCCUAUGGGUUGUAAACUGCUUUUAGUAGGGAAAAAACCCUCGUUCGUGAACGAGGCUGAUGGUACCUACAGAAUAAGGAUCGGCUAACUCCGUGCCAGCAGCCGCGGUAAUACGGAGGAUCCAAGCGUUAUCCGGAUUUAUUGGGUUUAAAGGGUGCGUAGGUGGAUUAAUAAGUCAGUGGUGAAAGCCUGCAGCUUAACUGUAGAACUGCCAUUGAUACUGUUAGUCUUGAAUGUAGUUGAGGUGGGCGGAAUAUGACAUGUAGCGGUGAAAUGCUUAGAUAUGUCAUAGAACACCGAUUGCGAAGGCAGCUCACUAAGCUAUAAUUGACACUGAGGC
RNAcentral lists this ribosomal RNA (400 nucleotides) under uncultured bacterium. Its description in RNAcentral is "bacterial SSU rRNA". It matches the Rfam family "Bacterial small subunit ribosomal RNA", at positions 355 to 752 of the family's 1533-position model. The record is from RNAcentral.